GAUUCCCUCAGUAAUGGCGAAUGAACAGGGAUAAGCUCAGCAUGGAAAUUGGGGCCUGCGGCCUUGAAUUGUAAUCUGGAGAUGUAUUGCCAACGGAGGCGCAGAUGUAAGCCUCUUGGAAAAGAGCAUCAUCGAGGGUGAGAAUCCCGUUUGUCAUCUGCAGUCCCCCGUGCACGGCAUACCUUCUAAGAGUCACGUUCCUCGGGAUUGGAGCGCAAAGUGGGUGGUAAAUUUCAUCUAAAGCUAAAUAUUGGUUUGAGACCGAUAGCAAACAAGUACCAUGAGGGAAAGGUGAAAAGGACUUUGAAAAGAGAGUUAAAAGUGCCUGAAAUUGUUGAAAGGGAAGCGAAUGGAACCAGUGUGUCGUGGCGAGAUUGUUGCAUGCCAAUGUGAUGAUCUGCUGUUUCAGCGCAAGUGUGGCAGUAGGUUUUGAUCAGGAUGUGUGCAAUGCUUCUUGCCUUGUGUGUCAACUUCAAUUCGCAUUUGAAGAAAACUCCAAGGACAUGGUAACUUGCCUUCGGGUGUGUGAAUGUGUUUGGCUGAAUUCAUAUGUGUAUUGAUCGUUGACUAAAUGGUUCCUUUCGACCCGUCUUGAAACACGGACCAAGGAGUCUAACAUAUGUGCGAGUUCACGGGUGGGUAAACCUGCUUGCGCAAUGAAAGUGACUGCUGGGAUUCUUGCACCAGCAACCGACCAAUCAAUUGAGAGAGGUUUGAGUAUGAGCAUAUCUGUUAGGACCCGAAAGAUGGUGAACUAUGCCUGUGAAGGGCAAACUCAGGGGAAACUUCUGAUGGAGGCUCGUAGCGAUACUGACGUGCAAAUCGUUCGUCAUAACAUGGGUAU
Molecule: ribosomal RNA, 844 nt
Filed under: Pentapharsodinium imariense
Lineage: Eukaryota; Dinophyceae; Peridiniales; Ensiculiferaceae
Description: Ensiculifera imariensis partial large subunit ribosomal RNA
Rfam family: Eukaryotic large subunit ribosomal RNA
Source: RNAcentral